UUAAGCAUAUCAAUAAGCGGAGGAAAAGAAACCAACAGGGAUUGCCUCAGUAACGGCGAGUGAAGCGGCAACAGCUCAAAUUUGAAAUCUGGCUCCAUCGGGGUCCGAGUUGUAAUUUGUAGAGAGUGUUUCGGGUGAGACCACGGUCUAAGUCCAUUGGAACAUGGCGUCACAGAGGGUGAGAAUCCCGUAUGUGACUGUGGCUCGAGCCCAUGUGAAGCCUCUUCGACGAGUCGAGUUGUUUGGGAAUGCAGCUCAAAAUGGGUGGUAAAUUUCAUCUAAAGCUAAAUACUGGCUGGAGACCGAUAGCGCACAAGUAGAGUGAUCGAAAGAUGAAAAGCACUUUGGAAAGAGAGUCAAAAAGUACGUGAAAUUGUUGAAAGGGAAGCGCUUGCAACCAGACCUAUCCGUAGGUGAUCAGCCGCUGUUCUCAGUGGUGCACUCGCUCUGCGAUCAGGCCAGCAUCGGUUCCGGCGGUCGGAUAAAGGCCUUGGGAAUGUAGCUCCCUUCGGGGAGUCUUAUAGCCCUCGGUGCAAUGCGGCCAGCCGGGACCGAGGACCGCGCUUCGGCUAGGAUGCUGGCGUAAUGGUUGUAAGCGACCCGUCUUGAAACACGGACCAAGGAGUCUAACAUCUAUGCGAGUGUUUGGGUGUUAAACCCAUGCGCGGAAUGAAAGUGAACGGAGGUGAGAACCCUUUAGGGCGCAUCAUCGACCGAUCCAGAUGUCUUCGGAUGGAUUUGAGUAUGAGCAUAAAUGUUGGGACCCGAAAGAUGGUGAACUAUGCCUGAAUAGGGUGAAGCCAGAGGAAACUCUGGUGGAGGCUCGCAGCGGUUCUGACGUGCAAAUCGAUCGUCAAAUUUGGGUAUAGGGGCG
Molecule: ribosomal RNA, 874 nt
Filed under: Usnea fragilescens
Lineage: Eukaryota; Fungi; Ascomycota; Lecanoromycetes; Lecanorales; Parmeliaceae
Description: eukaryotic LSU rRNA
Rfam family: Eukaryotic large subunit ribosomal RNA
Source: RNAcentral